RNAcentral lists this ribosomal RNA (186 nucleotides) under Nitrospirales bacterium. Its description in RNAcentral is "partial 16S ribosomal RNA". It matches the Rfam family "Bacterial small subunit ribosomal RNA", at positions 1 to 186 of the family's 1533-position model. The record is from RNAcentral. Lineage: Bacteria; Pseudomonadati; Nitrospirota; Nitrospiria; Nitrospirales.
UCUUUUGAGAGUUUGAUCCUGGCUCAGAACGAACGCUGGCGGCGCGCCUAACACAUGCAAGUCGAACGAGAAUCCGGGGCAACCCGGUAGUAAAGUGGCAGACGGGUGAGGAAUGCAUGGGUAACCUGCCCUCGAGAAGGGAAUAACCCGCCGAAAGGCGAGCUAAUACCCUAUACGCUUCUCUCU